This is a long non-coding RNA of Olea europaea var. sylvestris, 524 nucleotides long. RefSeq lists it as uncharacterized. The transcript is spliced from 2 exons. The record is from RefSeq and is a predicted model, not a curated record. Lineage: Eukaryota; Viridiplantae; Streptophyta; Magnoliopsida; Lamiales; Oleaceae.
UCUUAGCUUGAAUACUAUCACAAAACACUUGAAAUUAAGAGUAUAUAGCUAUGGUUAAACUUCUUGACAGCAACAAGACUACCUUUCUUUCACUCUUUUUCUGCUUCCUCAUCCUUGCAGCCUUCGAGGCUCAAAUCGGGGAGGCAAAAUGCACAAGGCCAAGCAAAGGAUAUCGUUCGAGAUGUGUCGGUUACCGAUGUAACUCAUACUGCAUGCAAUCCGAAGGAGCUUACUCCGGGUCUUGUAUGAUGCAAAACUCGGGUGGUUUUGCUUGCUAUUGCCACUACUACCGAUGCUGAAUGAGUUCCAUAACUUGAUAUGUAAUCAAUUGGUGAUACUGCAGCUGUAUAUGUAACAUAAACUAAAUAAAAGCUGCCUGUGUGUGAUUCUGAGCAGCAAUUACAGUAAUUAUCACCAGUGAGAUGUUGCUAAGUUGUUAUGUUACUGCUGUACUGAUAUAUAAUAUAUAAUAAGUGUAAUUUCGUGCUAUAAUAUAUAAAGAUAUUGUUGUUCCUCAUGUGACA